This 842-nucleotide ribosomal RNA is filed under the name uncultured deep-sea bacterium. RNAcentral's name for it is "bacterial SSU rRNA". It matches the Rfam family "Bacterial small subunit ribosomal RNA", at positions 8 to 863 of the family's 1533-position model. The record is from RNAcentral.
AGAGUUUGAUCCUGGCUCAGGAUGAACGCUGGCGGCAUGUUUAAGGCAUGCAAGUCGAGGGAUCGGAUAGGUGCUUGCACUUAUUACGGACCGGCAAACGGGUGAGUAACACACUAGUAACCUACCUCCAAGACAGGGAUAGCCCACCGAAAGGUGAAUUAAUACCUGAUAGUCAUAACAGUUUAAUUCUCGUUAUGUAAACGCUCCGGUGCUUGGAGAGGGGCUUAUGGCUGAUUAGUUAGUUGGUGGGGUAAUGGCCCACCAAGACAAUGAUCAGUAGCAGGCGUGAGAGCGUGACCUGCCUCACUGGGACUGAGACACUGCCCAGACUCCUACGGGAGGCUGCAGUCAAGAAUCUUCCACAAUGGGCGAAAGCCUGAUGGAGCAAUGCCGCGUGCAGGAAGACGCCUUUCGGGGUGUAAACUGCUUUUAUAUGGGAAGAAUUUGUGACGGUACCAUAUGAAUAAGAGGUUGCUAACUCUGUGCCAGCAGCAGCGGUAAUACAGAGACCUCAAGCGUUAUCCGGAUUUAUUGGGCGUAAAGCGUCCGCAGGUUGUUCUACAAGUCAUUUGUUAAAUCUUCGGGCUCAACCCGAAGACUGCAACUGAAACUGUAAAACUAGAGAAUGGGAGAGGUAAGCGGAAUUCUCGGUGUAGUCGUAAUAAGCGCUGAUAUCGAGAGGAACACCAAAGGCGAAGGCAGCUUACUGGAACAUUUCUGACACUCAUGGACGAAAGCGUGGGGAGCGAAGCGGAUUAGAUACCCGCGUAGUCCACGCCGUAAACGAUGUGUACUAGGUAUUGGAAGUAUCGACCCUUUCAGUGCCGUUUAAAAAAAGCUAA